RNAcentral lists this ribosomal RNA (253 nucleotides) under uncultured bacterium. RNAcentral's name for it is "partial 16S ribosomal RNA". It matches the Rfam family "Bacterial small subunit ribosomal RNA", at positions 524 to 776 of the family's 1533-position model. The record is from RNAcentral.
UACGUAGGUGGCAAGCGUUAUCCGGAUUUACUGGGUGUAAAGGGCGUGUAGGCGGGACUGCAAGUCAGAUGUGAAACCCAUGGGCUCAACCCAUGGCCUGCAUUUGAAACUGUAGGUCUUGAGUAUCGGAGAGGCAGGCGGAAUUCCUAGUGUAGCGGUGAAAUGCGUAGAUAUUAGGAGGAACACCAGUGGCGAAGGCGGCCUGCUGGACGACAACUGACGGUGAGGCGCGAAAGCGUGGGGAGCAAACAGG